GGUCAAGUUAGUAAGGGCGCACGGUGGAUGCCUUGGCACCAGGAGCCGAUGAAGGACGUAGGAGGCUGCGAUAAGCCUCGGGGAGCUGCCAACCGAGCUGUGAUCCGGGGGUGUCCGAAUGGGGAAACCCGGCAGGAGUCAUGUCCUGUCACUCUCAUCUGAACACAUAGGGUGAGAAGAGGGAACGUGGGGAAGUGAAACAUCUCAUUACCCACAGGAAGAGAAAGCAACCGCGAUUCCGCGAGUAGUGGCGAGCGAAAGCGGAAGAGGCUAAACCGGGUACGUGGACAAGCCGGCAGGCGUUGCGUGUCCGGGGUCGUGGGACCGUUCUGGUCGAUCUGCCGAUCGGCCGGGGAGUGAGAAAGUGCGGCGUUAGUCGAAGCGUCUGGGAAGGCGCACCAUAGCGGGUGAGAGUCCUGUAGACGAAAGCGACCGCAUCUCCCGAGCGGGAUCCCAAGUAGCACGGAGCCCGUGAAAUUCCGUGUGAAUCUGGGGGGACCACCCCCUAAGCCUAAAUACUCCCUGGUGACCGAUAGCGGACUAGUACCGUGAGGGAAAGGUGAAA
This 565-nucleotide ribosomal RNA is filed under the name Actinomycetota bacterium. RNAcentral describes it as "partial 23S ribosomal RNA". It matches the Rfam family "Bacterial large subunit ribosomal RNA", at positions 1 to 519 of the family's 2925-position model. Lineage: Bacteria; Bacillati; Actinomycetota. The record is from RNAcentral.